CCUACGGGACGCAGCAGUGGGGAAUAUUGCACAAUGGGGGAAACCCUGAUGCAGCGACGCCGCGUGAGUGAAGAAGUAUUUCGGUAUGUAAAGCUCUAUCAGCAGGGAAGAAAAAAGACGGUACCUGACUAGGAAGCCCCGGCUAACUACGUGCCAGCAGCCGCGGUAAUACGUAGGGGGCAAGCGUUAUCCGGAUUUACUGGGUGUAAAGGGAGCGUAGACGGCAGUGCAAGUCCGGAGUGAAAGCCCGGGGCUCAACCCUGGGACUGCUCUGGAAACUGUAAAGCUGGAGGGCGGGAGGGGCG
Molecule: ribosomal RNA, 305 nt
Filed under: uncultured bacterium
Lineage: Bacteria
Description: bacterial SSU rRNA
Rfam family: Bacterial small subunit ribosomal RNA
Source: RNAcentral